UACGUAGGGGGCUAGCGUUGUCCGGAAUCAUUGGGCGUAAAGCGCGUGUAGGCGGCCCGGUAAGUCCGCUGUGAAAGUCGGGGGCUCAACCCUCGAAAGCCGGUGGAUACUGUCGGGCUCGAGUACGGGAGAGGCGAGUGGGAUUCCUGGUGUAGCGGUGAAAUGCGCAGAUAUCAGGAGGAACACCGAUUGCGAAGGCAGCUCGCUGGAACGUUACUGACGCUGAGACGCGAAAGCGUGGGGAGCAAACAGG
Molecule: ribosomal RNA, 253 nt
Filed under: uncultured bacterium
Lineage: Bacteria
Description: partial 16S ribosomal RNA
Rfam family: Bacterial small subunit ribosomal RNA
Source: RNAcentral